RNAcentral lists this small nuclear RNA (108 nucleotides) under Chinchilla lanigera (long-tailed chinchilla). The record is from RNAcentral. Lineage: Eukaryota; Metazoa; Chordata; Mammalia; Rodentia; Chinchillidae.
GUGCUUCCUUCAGCAGCACAUAUACUAAAAAUUGGAACAAUAUAGAGAAGAUCAACAUGGCUCCUGCACAAGGAUGCCAUGCAAAUUCCUGAAGCAUUCCAUAUUUCA